Molecule: ribosomal RNA, 784 nt
Filed under: Staphylococcus aureus
Lineage: Bacteria; Bacillati; Bacillota; Bacilli; Caryophanales; Staphylococcaceae
Description: partial 23S ribosomal RNA
Rfam family: Bacterial large subunit ribosomal RNA
Source: RNAcentral
UCAGGUAACACUGAAUGGAGGACCGAACCGACUUACGUUGAAAAGUGAGCGGAUGAACUGAGGGUAGCGGAGAAAUUCCAAUCGAACCUGGAGAUAGCUGGUUCUCUCCGAAAUAGCUUUAGGGCUAGCCUCAAGUGAUGAUUAUUGGAGGUAGAGCACUGUUUGGACGAGGGGCCCCUCUCGGGUUACCGAAUUCAGACAAACUCCGAAUGCCAAUUAAUUUAACUUGGGAGUCAGAACAUGGGUGAUAAGGUCCGUGUUCGAAAGGGAAACAGCCCAGACCACCAGCUAAGGUCCCAAAAUAUAUGUUAAGUGGAAAAGGAUGUGGCGUUGCCCAGACAACUAGGAUGUUGGCUUAGAAGCAGCCAUCAUUUAAAGAGUGCGUAAUAGCUCACUAGUCGAGUGACACUGCGCCGAAAAUGUACCGGGGCUAAACAUAUUACCGAAGCUGUGGAUUGUCCUUUGGACAAUGGUAGGAGAGCGUUCUAAGGGCGUUGAAGCAUGAUCGUAAGGACAUGUGGAGCGCUUAGAAGUGAGAAUGCCGGUGUGAGUAGCGAAAGACGGGUGAGAAUCCCGUCCACCGAUUGACUAAGGUUUCCAGAGGAAGGCUCGUCCGCUCUGGGUUAGUCGGGUCCUAAGCUGAGGCCGACAGGCGUAGGCGAUGGAUAACAGGUUGAUAUUCCUGUACCACCUAUAAUCGUUUUAAUCGAUGGGGGGACGCAGUAGGAUAGGCGAAGCGUGCGAUUGGAUUGCACGUCUAAGCAGUAAGGCUGAGUAUUAGGCA